UAAACAUUGUCGAUGCUUGCCCUUUUUGUGAUUUUGGUUUUGAUGAUCUUACUCACAUUCUAAGAUCUUGCUGCUCCAUUAAACCACUUUGGACAGCCUUGGGUAUUCCUCCUUUUUUGCUCAAAUCAUUUCAUGAUCCCUUUCCUACUAGGCUGCAUGCAAAUCUCACCUCAAAAUGCCUUUAUUCGAGACCCCAACUACCAUGGUAUUUGGUUUUCAUUUUCUUCCUUUGAAAUCUUUGGCUUGCUAGAAAUGCAAACAAAUUUGGAAAAGCCUAUAAUCUUUGCUCGCUGGCUCAUCACUCAACUGCAAGUGUGGCUGAAUUCUUUGCAACUUCAAGCCGCAUCAAAUGCUAUAAGCUCCCAAACUUCACAAGUAUCAAAUGGUAUCUGCCUGAUAGAGAAUGGGUUAAAUUAAAUUGUGAGGGGUCGUCCAUUGGCAAUUUGGGUUCCGCCGGAGCAGGAGCGAUUAUCCUAGACUCCAAAGGCUCUCAGGUAGCAGGACUUUAUUGGCGACCUCCCAGCAUCGUCACCUCGUUCACAUCUUCUGAAAGGGUAAUUGCUAUGCUGAUUGUUUUGUAUUUCGAACUACCUUCUUUAAAUGUGCAGCUUUGUCAAUUCUGAUAUUGCUGGACGCUUUGUCUAUCGUGCUACUGUUUCGUUUUAAAUUUUAGUAAUGAAAGUUCCUUUAUUUCCCACACAAGAAAAACAUAGUUUCAUCCCCUAACAUUUUGAUCCUGAAACUGCGAGCUAAUAAUGUUGAUGGAGAAAUUGCUUUGUUUAACUAGCAAGUGGCUUUUAUAUUGAAAGACAGAGGACAGUGUCGUUUUAGGAAUAAGUAAAUUGUUACAAAUUUUAAGCAUAAUUUUGCAGCAAAAGAAGAGUACUCAAUUACAUUUUACAUCACAGAGCACCAAUGUUCUUGAGACCAAGAACGAUCCCAACACCAAAAAUAUGGCCAACAACACCACAAGCCAAAGUGUCAGCAAGUGUAAAACCAGCAGGGUCACCAGUCUGCAAGCCUGAGUCCCUUACUUCAAGCUUCAAUCCAGCGGUGGCCUUUCUGUUUGCUGAUGGAGCCAACCCAAACCUCCCAGCAAACAGCAUCAGGGUUGUUGUAGUCACCAUUAUCUGACCAGUAAACAAACAUUAUACAAAAGUUUUUCUACACAAUCAAAAAUCAUAUAGCAAAGACAGAAAAAAAAAUCCUGACCAAAUUUGUGGGAGAUCCGAUGAAAUCACAUCGUGCACCGAGAGCACCCUUCCCCUUGCGCCUCAUUGGUUGAACUGCUGCCUGCAAUAUUCAUGAACUGAGAAACCAGAUCCAAGUAAAAAUGAAACCAGAAAAGCAAACUCAGGAAUAUUGACUAACCAGGCUCCUAACUGGAGCAGUAGAAACUUUGGGUCUUAACCCACUGAACUGGGGGAGAGUGGUGAUUGCUGCAGUAGCUGCCAUUUGAUAGUAUGCAAGAGAUAAUCAGAAUUGGUUCAAGACAAUUACAAGGUGCCUAUCACCCUCUCUCUGAUCUUUUCUAGUUU
Long non-coding RNA from Gossypium arboreum, 1538 nucleotides. RefSeq lists it as uncharacterized. NCBI's taxonomy places the organism in Eukaryota, Viridiplantae, Streptophyta, Magnoliopsida, Malvales, Malvaceae. The record is from RefSeq and is a predicted model, not a curated record. The transcript is spliced from 2 exons.